Molecule: ribosomal RNA, 253 nt
Filed under: uncultured bacterium
Lineage: Bacteria
Description: partial 16S ribosomal RNA
Rfam family: Bacterial small subunit ribosomal RNA
Source: RNAcentral
UACGUAGGGGGCAAGCGUUGUCCGGAAUUAUUGGGCGUAAAGAGCGCGUAGGCGGUCCGAUAAGUCGGGUGUGAAAUCUCGGAGCUUAACUCCGAAACUGCAUUCGAUACUGCCGUGCUUGAGGACUGGAGAGGAGACUGGAAUUUACGGUGUAGCGGUGAAAUGCGUAGAUAUCGUAAGGAAGACCAGUGGCGAAGGCGGGUCUCUGGACAGUUCCUGACGCUGAGGCACGAAGGUCAGGGGAGCAAACGGG